AUGUUAGAUCAGGUCAAGUAUUUCAUUCCGGCUUGGCAGCACGGUCUGAUUCAGAGACCAGGAAGACUAGUGCUAGUUAACAGUGUCAUCACGGCGAGGCCUAUUCACCAUCUGCUCGUCAUGAACGCGCCGAAAUGGGUGUUCGAAGAAGUGGAUAAAUGGAUGAGGGCUUUUUUCUGGGCUGAGAAAGAGAACGUCAACGACAGGCAGUGCUUGGUGGCUUGGCACACCAUUUGCAGACCGACUUGUUUUGGUGGUCUGGGAGUCAAGAACUUAAAGAUCCAAGGCCUGGCCAUGCGUAUCCGGUGGGAAUGGCUAAGAAGGAUAGAGCCCACCCGCCCUUGGCAAGGGUUACACCUCAUGGUGGACAAGGAGGCAAAGGCAGUUUUUGAUAGCAUGGUGCUCAUCAGAGUUGGAGAGGGAAGCAAGGUCUUGUUCUGGACCGAUAGAUGGAUACACGGCUUCGCUGCCAAGGAUAUCACCCCCUGA
Molecule: ribosomal RNA, 489 nt
Filed under: Triticum aestivum (bread wheat)
Lineage: Eukaryota; Viridiplantae; Streptophyta; Magnoliopsida; Poales; Poaceae
Description: partial small subunit ribosomal RNA
Source: RNAcentral